RNAcentral lists this ribosomal RNA (449 nucleotides) under uncultured bacterium. RNAcentral describes it as "partial 16S ribosomal RNA". It matches the Rfam family "Bacterial small subunit ribosomal RNA", at positions 29 to 523 of the family's 1533-position model. The record is from RNAcentral.
AGCGAACGCUGGCGGCAGGCCUAACACAUGCAAGUCGAACGGACCCUUCGGGGUUAGUGGCGGACGGGUGAGUAACACGUGGGAACGUGCCUUUAGGUUCGGAAUAGCUCCUGGAAACGGGUGGUAAUGCCGAAUGUGCCCUUCGGGGGGAAGAUUUAUCGCCUUUAGAGCGGCCCGCGUCUGAUUAGCUAGUUGGUGAGGUAAUGGCUCACCAAGGCGACGAUCAGUAGCUGGUCUGAGAGGAUGACCAGCCACACUGGGACUGAGACACGGCCCAGACUCCUACGGGAGGCAGCAGUGGGGAAUCUUGCGCAAUGGGCGAAAGCCUGACGCAGCCGUGCCGCGUGAAUGAUGAAGGUCUUAGGAUUGUAAAAUUCUUUCACCGGGGACGAUAAUGACGGUACCCGGAGAAGAAGCCCCGGCUAACUUCGUGCCAGCAGCCGCCGUAA